GUGGGCUAAACACGGUUGGACAUCGUGUGGUUAGUGCAAUGGCAUAAGCCCGCUUGACUGCGAGAAUGACAAUUCGAGCAGGUGCGAAAGCAGGUCAUAGUGAUCCGGUGGUUCUGAAUGGAAGGGCCAUCGCUCAACGGAUAAAAGGUACUCCGGGGAUAACAGGCUGAUACCGCCCAAGAGUUCAUAUCGACGGCGGUGUUUGGCACCUCGAUGUCGGCUCAUCACAUCCUGGGGCUGAAGUCGGUCCCAAGGGUAUGGCUGUUCGCCAUUUAAAGUGGUACGCGAGCUGGGUUUAGAACGUCGUGAGACAGUUCGGUCCCUAUCUGCCGUGGGCGUUGGAAAAUUGAAAGGGGCUGCUCCUAGUACGAGAGGACCGGAGUGGACGAACCUCUGGUGUUCGGGUUGUCAUGCCAAUGGCAUUGCCCGGUAGCUAAGUUCGGAAUCGAUAACCGCUGAAAGCAUCUAAGCGGGAAGCGAGCCUUGAGAUGAGUUUUCCCUGGCACUAUAAGUGUCCUAAAGGGUUGUCGUAGACUACGACGUUGAUAGGCAGGGUGUGUAAGUGCUGCGAGGCAUUGAGCUAACCUGUACUAAUUGCCCGUGAGGCUUAACCAUACAACACCC
Molecule: ribosomal RNA, 624 nt
Filed under: Vibrio splendidus 12B01
Lineage: Bacteria; Pseudomonadati; Pseudomonadota; Gammaproteobacteria; Vibrionales; Vibrionaceae
Description: bacterial LSU rRNA
Rfam family: Bacterial large subunit ribosomal RNA
Source: RNAcentral